CCACCUUAUCGUCACACCAACCUCAAUCGCAUCCAUUGAUAAUUGCCUGCUCACCAACCGGAUUCUUCGUACUGGGGGUUAGAGUCCAAGAAAUGUCAUUUUUAAGAUCAUUGCAUUGAGAGUUUAGCUAGUUAGUUAAAAGAUGUGCAUUAUUAAUGCCUUGUUAUGAGAUGUUUUGUUGGCCCUAGGCUACCUCAUUACGGUCUAGCGCACUGCACAUAUAUGUUUACAUUCUCCAGCCGAGAUUUGAAACCGCAUUCAACUUUUUGUUGGCCCCACGUUCGAGUGUGGGAUGGUGAUUGAUUCUAUUUAGAAGUUUUAAAUCUAUCUUCUCUGAUUAACUAACUACUGAUCUCCCGCUUCCUCAGUUUACAUCAUCUUUCUUUCGUCACUCUAUAUAGUGAAAUUAUAAAAUAUGAAUAUAGAUACUUUUCAUAUAGAUUCUUAGUAUAAAAACAAUAAUUCCGAGCACGGUUUCGUG
RNAcentral lists this small RNA (481 nucleotides) under Histoplasma capsulatum. RNAcentral describes it as "hypothetical RNA". The record is from RNAcentral. RNAcentral also lists the same sequence under 1 other name. Lineage: Eukaryota; Fungi; Ascomycota; Eurotiomycetes; Onygenales; Ajellomycetaceae.